GAGGUGUGAUUAGGAGUGAAAAGCUAAUCGAACCCGGAGAUAGCUGGUUCUCCUCGAAAGCUAUUUAGGUAGCGCCUCAUAUGUAUCCUCUCGGGGGUAGAGCACUGUUAUGGCUAGGGGGUCAUCGCGACUUACCAAACCAUUGCAAACUCCGAAUACCGAGACGGACUGUAUGGGAGACACACGGCGGGUGCUAACGUCCGUCGUGAAAAGGGAAACAACCCAGACCCACAGCUAAGGUCCCAAAUUUUGUGCUAAGUGGAAAACCAUGUGGAAAGGCACAGACAGCCAGGAGGUUGGCUUAGAAGCAGCCACCCUUUAAAGAAAGCGUAAUAGCUCACUGGUCGAGUCGGUCUGCGGGGAAGAUUUAACGGGGCUAAGCACAGAACCGAAGCUUGGGGUGCAUAACUUUGUUAUGCGCGGUAGAGGAGCGUUCCGUAAGCCGUUGAAGGUGGAUUGAGAAGUCUGCUGGAGGUAUCGGAAGUGCGAAUGCUGACAUGAGUAACGAUAAUGCGGGUGAAAAACCCGCACGCCGAAAGCCCAAGGUUUCCUUGCGCAACGUUAAUCGGCGCAGGGUGAGUCGGCCCCUAAGGCGAGGACGAAAGUCGUAGUCGAUGGGAAGCAGGUUAAUAUUCCUGCACCUCGCGUAAGUGCGAUGGAGGGACGGAGAAGGUUAGGUGUACCAGGCGUUGGUUGUCCUGGGGAAAGGCGGUAGGUUUGGAUCUUUGGCAAAUCCGGGAUCCUCUAAGACCGAGCACCGAGACGAGCCUUUAUGGCAAAGUCACUGAUACCACGCUUCCAGGAAAAGCUCCUAAGCUUCAGCUUACGCAGACCGUACCGUAAACCGACACAGGUGGGUAGGAUGAGAAUUCU
This 873-nucleotide ribosomal RNA is filed under the name Salmonella enterica subsp. enterica serovar Kentucky. RNAcentral's name for it is "partial 23S ribosomal RNA". It matches the Rfam family "Bacterial large subunit ribosomal RNA", at positions 806 to 1682 of the family's 2925-position model. The record is from RNAcentral. Lineage: Bacteria; Pseudomonadati; Pseudomonadota; Gammaproteobacteria; Enterobacterales; Enterobacteriaceae.